UGGAAUGUGGGACCCCACUGGGUUGUU
RNAcentral lists this small RNA (27 nucleotides) under Bombyx mori (domestic silkworm). Its description in RNAcentral is "ovarian small RNA-34502". Lineage: Eukaryota; Metazoa; Arthropoda; Insecta; Lepidoptera; Bombycidae. The record is from RNAcentral.